RNAcentral lists this unclassified non-coding RNA (510 nucleotides) under Hevea brasiliensis (rubber tree). The record is from RNAcentral. Lineage: Eukaryota; Viridiplantae; Streptophyta; Magnoliopsida; Malpighiales; Euphorbiaceae.
UGGACAUAUUUUACAAGGAGUGGUGCAACAAUUUUAUUGGAGCGUUUGCCUAGAUGCUGAAUCACAUCUUUUACCAGGGUCUUUCAGUUUAUAGAGACCUUUCACCGGAAACAAAAUGGAUAAUGGUACGCUUCUCGUUGGCAAUUAACUUGGUACACGCAUGAAACUAUUCCUCUGUAUUUACAAGCAUAACUGAACUGCGUCCUGGUGUUUUGAGAAGCCCUUGAUUCACCAUAAGCAUCCUCAUCCUUUCAGCCUUCCCCCAACAAUCAGAAUCAACAUAUAUAUUUGAUAGCAGAACAUAAUGUGGAUUAUUGCCAGAAUCUACUCCACGAUCUUGUCUGUUAACAUCUUCCAUUACUCGUUUCACCAUAUCCAUAUCGAAAUGAACUCGACAUGCUCCAACCAAAGCACCCCAAACUGCAUCAUUUGGUUUUAUUGGCAUUCUCUUAAUGAAUCAUAAGCAUCUUGUAGUCUUCCUGCAUGCCCAAGAAGAUCAGCCACACAGCC